AUUGAACGCUGGCGGCAAGCCUAACACAUGCAAGUCGAACGAGUGGCGGACGGGUGAGUAAUGUCUGGGAAACUGCCUGAUGGAGGGGGAUAACUACUGGAAAAGGUAGCUAAUACCGCAUACCAUCGGAUGUGCCCAGAUGGGAUUAGCUAGUAGGUGGGGUAAACGCUCACCUAGGCCACUAUCCCUAGCUGGUCUGAGAGGAUGACCAGCCACACUGGAACUGAGACACGGGCCAGACUCCUACGGGAGGCAGCAGUGGGGAAUAUUGCACAAUGGGCGCAAGCCUGAUGCAGCCAUGCCGCGGGUAUGAAGAAGGCCUUAGGGUUGGAAAGUACUUUCAGCGGGGAGGCGUUACCCUCAGAAGAAGCACCGGCUAACUCCGUGCCAGCAGCCGCGGUAAUUC
This 406-nucleotide ribosomal RNA is filed under the name uncultured bacterium. RNAcentral describes it as "partial 16S ribosomal RNA". It matches the Rfam family "Bacterial small subunit ribosomal RNA", at positions 30 to 526 of the family's 1533-position model. The record is from RNAcentral.